RNAcentral lists this long non-coding RNA (700 nucleotides) under Heterocephalus glaber (naked mole-rat). RNAcentral describes it as "lncRNA (ENSHGLG00000046990.1)". Lineage: Eukaryota; Metazoa; Chordata; Mammalia; Rodentia; Bathyergidae. The record is from RNAcentral.
CAGCAGUUGGCACGUGGAAUGGCUGCCGUUAGGGACACACACCUAGCUUCAUAGGUGAAAGGGAGAGGGAGGAAAGACACCUGCGGGAAGGACAAAAAUGCUUUUCUAGAAGAGACAGAGUUUUGGAGGAACAAAUAUAAGUUGCCUCCAGCUUGAAACAGUGAAUGCCAAAGUGCACAUGCUGAGGUGGAACAUUCUCGUCUCCCUGCCUCUAGACACCGGCCACAUGACCAUACGCAUUAAUUUUACGUCUCUAAAAAGCGGUGAGAGGCUUCAUACCAAGUGAUAUGAUUUUGGGUCAUCCCGGGACAGCAGGUCCCUGAUGCUGCAAUGGAGGAAGAAGAUGAUAUCCUUCCAAUUCCAGAAAGUUUUCCCUAAGUUUGUCAACAUCUGGGGCAGAAGUUCCAUUGCAGAACUGAAAUUCCUACGGGAGGAGAGAAGCUAUGGAAUCACAGCCAAGCAAGGUGAACCUUGCAGAAAGAGGGGAGGCAUCUCCUCCCCAAGGCCUCCCACAGGAGAGCCUAUUCACCCCUGAGCACAUGGAACCCUCACGUUACUGCACCUUGGGGAAGAAUGACGCUGGACACUCUGCUGUUGGUGAUUCAGAGACCUAACUGAGGCCAUGUGGAUGGAUGGACUCUACAGAGCCUCACAGAGGAAACAUCUCAAGCUACUCAAGAGGAGGAUGCUUGAAUUCCAG